AGUGAACGCUGGCGGUAGGCCUAACACAUGCAAGUCGAACGGCAGCACAGUAAGAGCUUGCUCUUACGGGUGGCGAGUGGCGGACGGGUGAGGAAUACAUCGGAAUCUACUUUUUCGUGGGGGAUAACGUAGGGAAACUUACGCUAAUACCGCAUACGACCUACGGGUGAAAGCAGGGGAUCUUCGGACCUUGCGCGAUUGAAUGAGCCGAUGUCGGAUUAGCUAGUUGGCGGGGUAAAGGCCCACCAAGGCGACGAUCCGUAGCUGGUCUGAGAGGAUGAUCAGCCACACUGGAACUGAGACACGGUCCAGACUCCUACGGGAGACAGCAGUGGGGAAUAUUGGACAAUGGGUGCAAGCCUGAUCCAGCCAUACCGCGUGGGUGAAGAAGGCCUUCGGGUUGUAAAGCCCUUUUGUUGGGAAAGAAAAGCAGCAGGUUAAUACCCCGCUGUUCUGACGGUACCCAAAGAAUAAGCACCGGCUAACUUCGUG
This 492-nucleotide ribosomal RNA is filed under the name uncultured bacterium. RNAcentral's name for it is "partial 16S ribosomal RNA". It matches the Rfam family "Bacterial small subunit ribosomal RNA", at positions 29 to 507 of the family's 1533-position model. The record is from RNAcentral.